UGUGUAGGCGGUUGUAUUAGUCUCCUGUUAAAGGCCCGGGCUCAACCCGGGAGAUGCGGGGGAAACGGUACAACUAGAGGAUGAGAGAGGUGUACAGAACUCACGGUGUAGGGGUGAUAUCCGUUGAUAUCGUGGGGAAUACCAAAGGCGAAGGCAGUACACUGGCUCAUUCCUGACGCUGAGACACGAAAGCGUGGGUAGCGAACG
This 207-nucleotide ribosomal RNA is filed under the name uncultured bacterium. RNAcentral describes it as "partial 16S ribosomal RNA". It matches the Rfam family "Bacterial small subunit ribosomal RNA", at positions 568 to 774 of the family's 1533-position model. The record is from RNAcentral.